RNAcentral lists this ribosomal RNA (253 nucleotides) under uncultured bacterium. RNAcentral describes it as "partial 16S ribosomal RNA". It matches the Rfam family "Bacterial small subunit ribosomal RNA", at positions 524 to 776 of the family's 1533-position model. The record is from RNAcentral.
UACGUAGGGAGCAAGCGUUGUCCGGAAUCAUUGGGCGUAAAGCGCGCGUAGGCGGCCUCAUAAGUCCGUUGUGAAAGUCAAAGGCUCAACCUUUGAAAGCCGAUGGAUACUGUGAGGCUAGAGUCCGGAAGAGGCGAGUGGAAUUCCUGGUGUAGCGGUGGAAUGCGCAGAUAUCAGGAGGAACACCAAUAGCGAAGGCAGCCCGCUGGGACGGUACUGACGCUAAGGCGCGAAAGCGUGGGGAGCGAACAGG